AUUGAACGCUGGCGGCAGGCCUAACACAUGCAAGUCGAACGAGUGGCGGACGGGUGAGUAAUGUCUGGGAAACUGCCUGAUGGAGGGGGAUAACUACUGGAAACGGUAGCUAAUACCGCAUACCAUCAGAUGUGCCCAUAUGGGAUUAGCUAGUAGGUGGGGUAACGGCUCACCUAGGCGACGUGCCCUAGCUGGUCUGAGAGGAUGACAAGCCACACUGGAGCGUAGACACGGUCCGGACUCCUACGGGAGGCAGCAGUGGGGAAUAUUGCACAAUGGGCGCAAGCCUGAUGCAGCCAUGCCGCGUGUGUGAAGAAGGCCUUCGGGUUGUAAAGCACUUUCAGCGGGGAGGCGUUACCCUCAGAAGAAGCACCGGCUAACUCCGUGCCAGCAGCCGCGGUAAUUC
This 406-nucleotide ribosomal RNA is filed under the name uncultured bacterium. Its description in RNAcentral is "partial 16S ribosomal RNA". It matches the Rfam family "Bacterial small subunit ribosomal RNA", at positions 30 to 526 of the family's 1533-position model. The record is from RNAcentral.